AGCUACAAACUGAGACAAUGAGGUUC
This 26-nucleotide non-coding RNA is filed under the name Mus musculus (house mouse). Lineage: Eukaryota; Metazoa; Chordata; Mammalia; Rodentia; Muridae. The record is from RNAcentral.